CUAUUGAUUUGUUAUGGACUGA
RNAcentral lists this microRNA (22 nucleotides) under Schistosoma japonicum. RNAcentral describes it as "miRNA-3046". The record is from RNAcentral. Lineage: Eukaryota; Metazoa; Platyhelminthes; Trematoda; Strigeidida; Schistosomatidae.